RNAcentral lists this ribosomal RNA (433 nucleotides) under uncultured bacterium. Its description in RNAcentral is "partial 16S ribosomal RNA". It matches the Rfam family "Bacterial small subunit ribosomal RNA", at positions 29 to 507 of the family's 1533-position model. The record is from RNAcentral.
AACGAACGCUGGCGGCAUGCCUAACACAUGCAAGUCGAACGAGACCUUCGGGUCUUGUGGCGCACGGGUGCGUAACGCGUGGGAACCUGCCCUUAGGUUCGGAAUAACUCCCCGAAAGGGGUGCUAAUACCGGAUAAUGUCUUCGGACCAAAGAUUUAUCGCCUUUGGAUGGGCCCGCGUUGGAUUAGCUAGUUGGUAGGGUAAAAGCCUACCAAGGCGACGAUCCAUAGCUGGUCUGAGAGGAUGAUCAGCCACACUGGGACUGAGACACGGCCCAGACUCCUACGGGAGGCAGGAGUGGGGAAUAUUGGACAAUGGGCGAAAGCCUGAUCCAGCAAUGCCGCGUGAGUGAUGAAGGCCUUAGGGUUGUAAAGCUCUUUUACCCGGGAUGAUAAUGACAGUACCGGGAGAAUAAGCUCCGGCUAACUACGUG